AACACAUAAUCAAAAAUGUAACAAAGGUGAUCCGAUUCUGCUUACUCCCUGUGGGAAAACGAUGGAAAAUGGACCAAAGCACAGGAGCUGCAAACUUGGCUAUAAAGCGGGAGUACAGGUGGCAACGAGAUGUGGGCACACGGACCAGGCAGGAUGGGAAGGCCAGCAGCAGGGUGUGGCUGAUGCGGUCCAACGUCAAGGACAAGAGCUGGCGAGCCUGAGAUGACGACAUGACGUAAAAAAAAGACGUGGAGGGAAGUCAAAGCAACAGUGGUUGAGAUCUUGAUUGAUUGAGAUGGAAAGCAGCAUCAUGUGAAGAAUGUGAAUAAGGGAGCAUUAACGAUGAUGAAGCAA
Long non-coding RNA from Phyllopteryx taeniolatus (common seadragon), 354 nucleotides. RefSeq lists it as uncharacterized. The transcript is spliced from 3 exons. The record is from RefSeq and is a predicted model, not a curated record. Lineage: Eukaryota; Metazoa; Chordata; Actinopteri; Syngnathiformes; Syngnathidae.